Schistocerca cancellata (South American locust) is the source of this 104-nucleotide small nuclear RNA. Lineage: Eukaryota; Metazoa; Arthropoda; Insecta; Orthoptera; Acrididae. The record is from RefSeq and is a predicted model, not a curated record.
ACACGCUGAAGCGGUAUAUAUACUAAAAUUGGAACGAUACAGAGAAGAUUAGCAUGGACUCAGCGCAAGAAUACACGCAAAAUAGUGAAGCGCUCCACAUUCCU